RNAcentral lists this ribosomal RNA (301 nucleotides) under uncultured bacterium. RNAcentral's name for it is "partial 16S ribosomal RNA". It matches the Rfam family "Bacterial small subunit ribosomal RNA", at positions 509 to 807 of the family's 1533-position model. The record is from RNAcentral.
CAGCAGCCGCGGUAAUACGUAGGGUGCAAGCGUUAAUCGGAAUUACUGGGCGUAAAGCGUGCGCAGGCGGUCCGUUAAGACAGAUGUGAAAUCCCCGGGCUUAACCUGGGAACUGCAUUUGUGACUGGCGGGCUAGAGUAUGGCAGAGGGGGGUAGAAUUCCACGUGUAGCAGUGAAAUGCGUAGAGAUGUGGAGGAAUACCGAUGGCGAAGGCAGCCCCCUGGGCCAAUACUGACGCUCAUGCACGAAAGCGUGUGGAGCAAACAGGAUUAGAUACCCGGGUAGUCCCUGUCUCUUAUAC